GGCGCUGAUUUCACAAUUUUUACUCUAUAUCUAUCCUUUUCUCAUUAUUUGCUCUUUGUCUAUCAUUCUUAGCAUGUGUGCGUGACAUAGAGAUACGAAACACAAAACAACACAUGGAAUGUCAAUCGAACGUCAAUUGUACUCGGUAUUUUUCUUUCCUACAAUAUAUUUUAAUAUAUAAAAUAUAUAUUACAUUAUAUUAUAUUCUCAAUGUGAUUUAAACGAAAACUUGUCAAUAAAAAGGCGUAAUUAUUGGCGUUGCUGUUUCCACAUCGACAUUGUCACCAAUUCCUGGGCUGGCUGAUAUCUCUGCAUCUCUGAUCGUAUCGAUAAGGGAUACUUUUUUGACGAUGAUCGAAUGGGAUUUGCUGUAUCAAACAAAAAUUGGACACAACUGGACACAACAUUAAUCUCGUGAGCAAGUAUGGGACCUUGUGUUUUUGUUGACAUCAUUAUUGUUAAGCGAUUGCUCUUUCUGUUGAGCUGUUUUAAGUCAUAUCGCCCAGUUUGAGUAAUGAUACCUUUUUUGUUUAUGAAUAAUUAUUUUUUUUUAACGAUUGUUCAUCACCGUGGCCACAAGAAAUAUGAUUAACGAUCGACGAAAGGAUCAGUUGACGUUUCUGGUUGAAUUUUUCUAGGCUUACGUGUGCUCAACAAUAAGUACACGUAAGCGUAUAAGUGUUUUAUAAUGAAUGAAUGUUUCAAUCUGUUAUUCUUAUUAUUAUUUGCUUCUUGAAGCAAGCAUAAUUAUUCAAAAAUAACAUUCAAAUAUACGAUAUAUUAUUUAAAUAUUUUACUUUAAAUAAUAUUUUAAGCAAAACUUAAUUUAAAUAGAAAUAAAUUUCUAGCACGUUUCAUAAAGAGGUUAUGAAAAAUUGAUGAAACGUGACUAAUUAUAUAUAUAUAUAUAUUUUAAUAAAAAUCGUAUUAUCGGAAUUAAGUGACGAAGAAAUCUGAAACAUCGUUCCAACAGAGAGCGUUGAAAACAUGGUUUACUAGAGUGCAUGUAAUAUUUUGCGAGCAUAAUGAAAGAUACUCGAAAUGCGGAGUUAAAAACACGCGAUGCUCGUUUUCGAGUUAGGAGACGUGUUAUUAAUUACGCCCGCGAAAUGCCUGUGUUUAAACGGAGCAGACCCGAAUGCAACAGGUACAAAAUAUCCAUUUCUUUAUGCAAGCGCUCGUAAUCUCGAUUAUAUACCGUUCUGAAUAACGUUUCUUAAUCCCUUACGUGAUUAGCAGAAAAGAGGCAUCCAAAAUAUUUCUAGAAAUCAUUUUAAGAUAAAAAGAAAUAGAAUUAUUUACUUAUUUACUUUUUUCUUAUGUAUAAUGAUUCUUAAAUCUUUUAAGCGAUCCACAAAUUUGAUUUUUAAAAAUAUUAAUCUAGUCUCUUUCAAAGAUUAGAAAAAUUUUAAAAUAAGAAAUAAAAUUUUGUUGAUCACUAGUGUGUUAGUGUGCAAAGAAAUAUCAAUAUAACAAAAAGUUAAUUCUUUCGAAAUCUUCUUGACUUUUUAUUUAACAAUGAACGCGAUAUUACUGUAAAAUAAUACGAAUAAAUUAAAAAAAAAAUAAUUAAUCUAAUAUUCUUACAGAUCUCAUAUCAAAAAAAUAUCUGUUAUUUAAUUCUAAUUAAAACUUCAAAACAUUAAUACAAAUUGAAUCUUUUUCUUACAUCUAUACUUGUACAUCAAUUUAGAAAAAAAAAGGAUUUUUAAUAAACAAUAAAUCCUAAUAAACAAGAUACCUUGUAUAAAAGCAGUUGUUGCUAAAGUUUUUUUCUGAUCGGUUUGAAAAUAUUUUAUAUACAGAUUAUGGUGGUUUUUUUGUAUUUUACGACUAAAAGACAAAAUAAAAAAAAGAAAGGAAUAUCCGGCAGCGAUAAAAACCGAUAUAGCGCGUUCACAUUUCGUGAAGUCUAAUAUACAACGUAACAAAGAUGUUAAAUAGCCAUAUAUAGAAACUUGAUUGAAACUACAAGGUUGUAUUAACUUUCGGUAUCGACAAGAAUGUAAACAUCAUUUUCGAACGGCAAUAAGUUUUUUACGUUAUCCGAAUUAUGGCCACGUUACGAUAGACUCGAACAGCGAUAUAUUACGAAUUUUACAAAUAUAAAUUAUUUAUACAAGCUAUCGUGUUAAUUAUCACGAAAGAAAACGACAUUUUUACAUGUCAGUAUAUACACGAUAGUCGAUUAAAACACUCACGAACGAAGCUUUUUUUCUUUUAUACACGUAUAAAAUGUUGUUGUACAAAUUGCAUAUUUAUAUUUAAAUAAGUUUCGAAUAAGAUUAUUAAUAUUUUUUUCGAACGUUUAGCGAUAUCAGAUAAUAGAGAUCCAUAGAAUCAAACAUGUUCUCGUUGAUUAUUAAUUCUCAUCGAAUUAAUUGAAAUUCCUUAUUUCAAACUGGAAAAAAUAUACAAAAUUUGGAAUCUUGAUUUAGUAUGGAUAAAAAAAAAAGUAUAUGUGAAUAAUUGUAAUUAUUGAUGAUGUAUUUAAAGAAGAGAUGAUAAAUAUUUAUGACAAUAUUUGUCAACUUGAUAAUAAACGUAUUUACU
Molecule: long non-coding RNA, 2553 nt
Organism: Apis cerana (Asiatic honeybee)
Lineage: Eukaryota; Metazoa; Arthropoda; Insecta; Hymenoptera; Apidae
Source: RefSeq, a predicted model, not a curated record